UACAGAGGGGGCAAGCGUUGUUCGGAAUUACUGGGCGUAAAGGGCGCGUAGGCGGCCCUCUAAGUCGAACGUGAAAUCCCUGGGCUCAACCCAGGAUCUGCGUCCGAGACUGGGGGGCUAGAAUCCGGGAGAGGGAUGUGGAAUUCCAGGUGUAGCGGUGAAAUGCGUAGAUAUCUGGAGGAACAUCGGUGGCGAAGGCGGCAUCCUGGACCGGUAUUGACGCUGAGGCGCGAAAGCCAGGGGAGCAAACGGG
Molecule: ribosomal RNA, 253 nt
Filed under: uncultured bacterium
Lineage: Bacteria
Description: partial 16S ribosomal RNA
Rfam family: Bacterial small subunit ribosomal RNA
Source: RNAcentral